This 459-nucleotide ribosomal RNA is filed under the name uncultured bacterium. Its description in RNAcentral is "partial 16S ribosomal RNA". It matches the Rfam family "Bacterial small subunit ribosomal RNA", at positions 338 to 795 of the family's 1533-position model. The record is from RNAcentral.
CCUACGGGUGGCAGCAGUGAGGAAUAUUGGUCAAUGGUCGGGAGACUGAACCAGCCAAGCCGCGUGAGGGAUGAAGGUACAGAGUAUCGUAAACCUCUUUUGUCAGGGAACAAAGGCGGGGACGUGUCCCCGGAUGAGUGUACCUGAAGAAAAAGCAUCGGCUAACUCCGUGCCAGCAGCCGCGGUAAUACGGAGGAGGCGAGCGUUAUCCGGAUUUAUUGGGUUGAAAGGGUGCGCAGGCGGUCUGGUAAGUCAGCGGUAAAAGCCCGGGGCUCAACCCCGGCCCGCCGUUGAAACUGGCAGUCUCGAGUUGGAGAGAAGUAUGCGGAAUGCGCGGUGUAGCGGUGAAAUGCAUAGAUAUCGCGCAGAACUCCGAUUGCGAAGGCAGCAUGCCGGCUCCACACUGACGCUGAGGCACGAAAGCGUGGGUAUCGAACAGGAUUAGAUACCCUAGUAGUG